Molecule: ribosomal RNA, 255 nt
Filed under: uncultured bacterium
Lineage: Bacteria
Description: partial 16S ribosomal RNA
Rfam family: Bacterial small subunit ribosomal RNA
Source: RNAcentral
CAGAGGGGUGCAAGCGUUAAUCGGAUUUACUGGGCGUAAAGCGCGCGUAGGUGGCCAAUUAAGUCAAAAUGUGAAAUCCCCGAGCUUAACUUGGGAAUUGCAUUCGAUACUGGUUGGCUAGAGUAUGGGAGAGGAUGGUAGAAUUCCAGGUGUAGCGGUGAAAUGCGUAGAGAUCUGGAGGAAUACCGAUGGCGAAGGCAGCCAUCUGGCCUAAUACUGACACUGAGGUGCGAAAGCAUGGGAGCAAACAGGAUU